Small nucleolar RNA from Amazona collaria (yellow-billed parrot), 130 nucleotides. The record is from Ensembl. Lineage: Eukaryota; Metazoa; Chordata; Aves; Psittaciformes; Psittacidae.
CAGCAUCCUCUGAUAGACCACGAGCACUUUUCCUAUUGCUCUCUGGUUUGCACUAUGAUGCAAAAAUAACUUCCUUGCGCUUUCUGCCUGCCAGCCCAUGGCAGCUCAGAUUGAAUUAGGGAAUACACAA